UAGAGAGUAAACUAAGUAAAGUUAUUAGGUUCAUACCCUAGCUAUGGAUAUAUUCCCUCUUUAA
Molecule: transfer RNA, 64 nt
Filed under: Panopea generosa
Lineage: Eukaryota; Metazoa; Mollusca; Bivalvia; Adapedonta; Hiatellidae
Also listed under: 1 other name
Description: tRNA-Met
Source: RNAcentral